CCUUGGGCUCCCGAAGUGCUGGGAUUACAGGCGUGAGCCACUGCGCCCAGUCUUAAAAGAAAAAUCUGUUUUCUAAAUGAGAGACUUGAGUUUAGUUCUCAUGAACAUAACUUUUUCAUACUAGGUUUCAGACCUGGUAUCAUUAAAUAUAAUUCAUUACAAAGACUUUUUCUAAUGUCUUCAAAUUCUUUAAGUCACCUUCAACAAGAAACUGUACAAGAAGCAAGCUACAACCUUACAGCAAGUGGUAAAUGUAUAUUUAUUGCUUUCCCCCUACCAGACAGAAACUCCUUUCUUGUUACUAACCAGAAUAGGAAUCAUUCACAAUCUUCAACUUGUGCUUCAAGGAUCUGAUCCUUCUUUUUACUCUGGCAAUUCUUUCUCUUUUACCAUCAAGUGUAAUGUGGACCUUUCUUUUGAUUGUGCCAACAGACUUCCAAUCUAACUGCAUCUGUUCAUAUAAACUAUAUCAAAAUAAUGCUAAAGCUUUUCUUCAAUCUUACAGAUAUUGCAAUAUUCAUCUUAAUACUUCCUUAAGAUUCAUCUAAUUGCAGUUGAUUUUACAACCACUAGUAUCUCAGGGGACACCUAUACUGAUUAAUGGAACACUGGUUAGGAAGCUCUGCUCAACUAUCCAACUGAAUUCAUACCCAUCCUCCAAGAAUCAAGAGCCACCUAUUUCAUAUUACUGAUCUCAAUAAAAUUGUUCCCAAAAUAUUCUACUUUUACUGUUUUUAACUGUUUUCACGAUAAUAAACUACAUUUAGUAGUGAAUAGUGUUGCCUCUCCAACAUCCAUUUCACCCAUACAUAUGGUAAGUAGAGCAGCCUCACUAUUUGGGUGAGAUCAUUUCCAGCAACAGAUCUAGGCACAAAAGGGUCUCCUCAUUCUAUCAGGAUAAUCCCAUUCCUUUUGCUACCUCAGUAACCCAGAACUAAAAAUUGGUUGAGAGGUGGCUCAACAGAAUGUUUUCAAGAUUUUUUAAUAAUUAUGGGAGUGAAUGCUUACAGCCCUUUCUCUGGUGCUGUUUGCUACCUUGCUACCAUGUAGGGAACUGGUUUGAGGAAGGAUUCAACCCACAAGAAGGGUGCAGAGUAGAACUAAAAAGAAAAGACAGAGGCCUGAAUCAACCACAUUUGAAGGUUAAGAUUCUCAGGUUGUUAAAGAGGGGCAGAAAAAUCUCAAGAAAUCCUGUCCUCACGCAAUCUUUGUGUUUUUUGGAACAACUCUUUAUGAGGUAUCAGUGAGUAUUCAGGGGAAAAAAAAGGGUAUCUUCGUAAAAUGAAUUUAUGAAGUAAUUCAUACUAUUUUACAGAUUCACAAUAUAAACACUAGCUAAAGCUACAAAAAGCCUUGCUAUAAGUAAAACUAUUUGUUCAAUCAGCAUUUCCCAAACCUAUUUGAUCAUUUUAAAAAACUGUCAAAAUCACAAGUAACACUAAUGUGAUCUCCUAAACACACUGAAAAAA
Molecule: long non-coding RNA, 1469 nt
Filed under: Homo sapiens (human)
Lineage: Eukaryota; Metazoa; Chordata; Mammalia; Primates; Hominidae
Description: HSALNT0327821
Source: RNAcentral